This 440-nucleotide ribosomal RNA is filed under the name uncultured bacterium. Its description in RNAcentral is "partial 16S ribosomal RNA". It matches the Rfam family "Bacterial small subunit ribosomal RNA", at positions 338 to 795 of the family's 1533-position model. The record is from RNAcentral.
CCUACGGGUGACAGCAGUGGGGGAUAUUGCACAAUGGGGGAAACCCUGAUGCAGCGACGCCGCGUGGGUGAAGAAGCGCCUCGGCGCGUAAAGCCCUGUCAGCAGGGAAGAAAAUGACGGUACCUGAAGAAGAAGCCCCGUCUAACUACGUGCCAGCAGCCGCGGCAACACGGCGGGGGCAAGCGUUAUCCGGAUUUACUGGGUGUAAAGGGGGCGCAGACGGCGAUGCAAGCCAGGAGUGAAAGCCCGGGGCCCAACCCCAGGACUGCUCUUGGAACUGGGUGGCUAGAGUGCAGGAGGGGCAGGCGGAAUGCGUGGUGUAGCGGUGAAAUGCGUAGAUAUCAGGAGGAACACCGGUGGCGAAGGCAGCCUGCUGGACUGCAACUGACGUUGAGGCCCGAAGGCGUGGGGAGCAAACAGGAUUAGAUACCCCGGUAGUC